Molecule: ribosomal RNA, 680 nt
Filed under: Escherichia coli
Lineage: Bacteria; Pseudomonadati; Pseudomonadota; Gammaproteobacteria; Enterobacterales; Enterobacteriaceae
Description: bacterial SSU rRNA
Rfam family: Bacterial small subunit ribosomal RNA
Source: RNAcentral
UCGACCGCCUGGGGAGUACGGCCGCAAGGUUAAAACUCAAAUGAAUUGACGGGGGCCCGCACAAGCGGUGGAGCAUGUGGUUUAAUUCGAUGCAACGCGAAGAACCUUACCUGGUCUUGACAUCCACAGAACUUUCCAGAGAUGGAUUGGUGCCUUCGGGAGCUGUGAGACAGGUGCUGCAUGGCUGUCGUCAGCUCGUGUUGUGAAAUGUUGGGUUAAGUCCCGCAACGAGCGCAACCCUUAUCCUUUGUUGCCAGCGGUCCGGCCGGGAACUCAAAGGAGACUGCCAGUGAUAAACUGGAGGAAGGUGGGGAUGACGUCAAGUCAUCAUGGCCCUUACGACCAGGGCUACACACGUGCUACAAUGGCGCAUACAAAGAGAAGCGACCUCGCGAGAGCAAGCGGACCUCAUAAAGUGCGUCGUAGUCCGGAUUGGAGUCUGCAACUCGACUCCAUGAAGUCGGAAUCGCUAGUAAUCGUGGAUCAGAAUGCCACGGUGAAUACGUUCCCGGGCCUUGUACACACCGCCCGUCACACCAUGGGAGUGGGUUGCAAAAGAAGUAGGUAGCUUAACCUUCGGGAGGGCGCUUACCACUUUGUGAUUCAUGACUGGGGUGAAGUCGUAACAAGGUAACCGUAGGGGAACCUGCGGUUGGAUCACCUCCUUACCUUAAAGAAGC